UACGAAGGGGGCUAGCGUUGCUCGGAAUCACUGGGCGUAAAGGGCGCGUAGGCGGCUAUAUAAGUCGGGGGUGAAAGCCUGUGGCUCAACCACAGAAUUGCCUUCGAUACUGUAUAGCUAGAGACCGGAAGAGGUAAGUGGAACUGCGAGUGUAGAGGUGAAAUUCGUAGAUAUUCGCAAGAACACCAGUGGCGAAGGCGGCUUACUGGUCCGGUUCUGACGCUGAGGCGCGAAAGCGUGGGGAGCAAACAGG
RNAcentral lists this ribosomal RNA (253 nucleotides) under uncultured bacterium. RNAcentral's name for it is "partial 16S ribosomal RNA". It matches the Rfam family "Bacterial small subunit ribosomal RNA", at positions 524 to 776 of the family's 1533-position model. The record is from RNAcentral.